CCUACGGGUGGCUGCAGUGGGGAAUAUUGCACAAUGGGCGCAAGCCUGGUGCAGCCAUGCCGCGUGUGUGAAGAAGGCCUUCGGGUUGUAAAGCACUUUCAGCGGGGAGGAAGGCGGUGAGGUUAAUAACCUCAUCGAUUGACGUUACCCGCAGAAGAAGCACCGGCUAACUCCGUGCCAGCAGCCGCGGUAAUACGGAGGGUGCAAGCGUUAAUCGGAAUUACUGGGCGUAAAGCGCACGCAGGCGGUCUGUCAAGUCGGAUGUGAAAUCCCCGGGCUCAACCUGGGAACUGCAUUCGAAACUGGCAGGCUAGAGUCUUGUAGAGGGGGGUAGAAUUCCAGGUGUAGCGGUGAAAUGCGUAGAGAUCUGGAGGAAUACCGGUGGCGAAGGCGGCCCCCUGGACAAAGACUGACGCUCAGGUGCGAAAGCGUGGGGAGCAAACAGGAUUAGAUACCCGGGUAGUC
This 465-nucleotide ribosomal RNA is filed under the name uncultured Klebsiella sp. Its description in RNAcentral is "bacterial SSU rRNA". It matches the Rfam family "Bacterial small subunit ribosomal RNA", at positions 338 to 795 of the family's 1533-position model. The record is from RNAcentral. Lineage: Bacteria; Pseudomonadati; Pseudomonadota; Gammaproteobacteria; Enterobacterales; Enterobacteriaceae.